RNAcentral lists this ribosomal RNA (514 nucleotides) under uncultured bacterium. RNAcentral describes it as "partial 16S ribosomal RNA". It matches the Rfam family "Bacterial small subunit ribosomal RNA", at positions 28 to 523 of the family's 1533-position model. The record is from RNAcentral.
GAUGAACGCUGGCGGCGUGCCUAAUACAUGCAAGUCGAGCGAACAGAUGAGAAGCUUGCUUCUCUGAUGUUAGCGGCGGACGGGUGAGUAACACGUGGGUAACCUACCUAUAAGACUGGAAUAACUCCGGGAAACCGGGGCUAAUACCGGAUAAUAUUUUGAACCGCAUGGUUCAAUAGUGAAAGACGGUUUCGGCUGUCACUUAUAGAUGGACCCGCGCCGUAUUAGCUAGUUGGUAAGGUAACGGCUUACCAAGGCGACGAUACGUAGCCGACCUGAGAGGGUGAUCGGCCACACUGGAACGGAGACACGGUCAAGACUCCUACGGGAGGCAGCAGUAGGGAAUCUUCCGAAAUGGGCGAAAGCCUGACGGAGCAACGCCGCGUGAGUGAUGAAGGUCUUCGGAUCGUAAAACUCUGUUGUUAGGGAAGAACAAAUUUGUUAGUAACUGAACAAGUCUUGACGGUACCUAACCAGAAAGCCACGGCUAACUACGUGCCAGCAGCCGCCGUAA